Molecule: ribosomal RNA, 376 nt
Filed under: uncultured bacterium
Lineage: Bacteria
Description: bacterial SSU rRNA
Rfam family: Bacterial small subunit ribosomal RNA
Source: RNAcentral
AUACGUAGGGGGCGAGCGUUGUCCGGAAUGACUGGGCGUAAAGGGCGCGUAGGUGGCCUUUCAAGUCUGGAGUGAAAGUCCCGCUUUCAAGGUGGGAAUGGCUUUGGAAACUGAGAGGCUUGAGUGUGGGAGAGGAUAGCGGAAUUCCCGGUGUAGCGGUGAAAUGCGUAGAGAUCGGGAGGAACACCAGUGGCGAAGGCGGCUAUCUGGACCAAGACUGACACUGAAGCGCGAAAGCGUGGGUAGCAAACAGGAUUAGAUACCCUGGUAGUCCACGCGGUAAACGAUGGAUGCUAGGUGUAGGAGGUAUCGACCCCUUCUGUGCCGGAGUUAACACAAUAAGCAUCCCGCCUGGGGAGUACGGCCGCAAGGUUGA